This 406-nucleotide ribosomal RNA is filed under the name uncultured bacterium. Its description in RNAcentral is "partial 16S ribosomal RNA". It matches the Rfam family "Bacterial small subunit ribosomal RNA", at positions 28 to 526 of the family's 1533-position model. The record is from RNAcentral.
GACGAACGCUGGCGGCGUGCCUAAUACAUGCAAGUCGAGCGAGCGGCGGACGGGUGAGUAAUGUCUGGGAAACUGCCCGAUGGAGGGGGAUAACUACUGGAAACGGUAGCUAAUACCGCAUACUAUCGGAUGGGCCCAGAUGGGCUUAGCUUGUGGGUGAGGUAACGGCUCACCUAGGCGACGAUCCCUAGCUGGUCUGAGAGGAUGACCAGCCACACUGGAACUGGGACACGGUCCAGACUCCUACGGGAGGCAGCAGUGGGGAAUAUUGCACAAUGGGCGCAAGCCUGAUGCAGCCAUGCCGCGUGUAUGAAGAAGGCCUUCGGGUUGUAAAGUAGUUUCAGCGGGGAGGCGUUACCCGCAGAGGAAGCACCGGCUAACUCCGUGCCAGCCGCCGCGGUAAUUC